Molecule: small nuclear RNA, 104 nt
Organism: Phyllostomus discolor (pale spear-nosed bat)
Lineage: Eukaryota; Metazoa; Chordata; Mammalia; Chiroptera; Phyllostomidae
Source: RefSeq, a predicted model, not a curated record
GUGCUCACUUAGGCAGCACAUAUACUAAAAUUGGGACAACACAGAUAUUAGCACGGGCCCUGAGCAAAGAUGACAUACAAAUUCGUGAAGCAUUCUGUUUGUUU